Molecule: ribosomal RNA, 497 nt
Filed under: uncultured bacterium
Lineage: Bacteria
Description: partial 16S ribosomal RNA
Rfam family: Bacterial small subunit ribosomal RNA
Source: RNAcentral
GACGAACGCUGGCGGCGUGCCUAAUACAUGCCAGUAGAACGCUGAAGCGAGGAGCUUACUCUUCUUGGAUGAGUUGCGAACGGGUGAGUAACGCGUAGGUAACCUGCCUUGUAGCGGGGGAUAACUAUUGGAAACGAUAGCUAAUACCGCAUAACAAUGGAUGACACAUGUCAUUUAUUUGAAAGGGGCAAUUGCUCCACUACAAGAUGGACCUGCGUUGUAUUAGCUAGUAGGUGAGGUAAUGGCUCACCUAGGCGACGAUACAUAGCCGACCUGCGGGGGUGGUCGGCCACACUGGGACUGGGACACGGCCCAGACUCCUACGGGAGGCAGCAGUAGGGAAUCUUCGGCAAUGGGGGCAACCCUGGCCGAGCAACGCCGCGUGAGUGAAGAAGGUUUUCGGAUCGUAAAGCUCUGUUGUAAGUCAAGAACGGGUGUGAGAGUGGAAAGUUCACACUGUGACGGUAGCUUACCAGAAAGGGACGGCUAACUACGUG